Molecule: long non-coding RNA, 795 nt
Organism: Tarenaya hassleriana
Lineage: Eukaryota; Viridiplantae; Streptophyta; Magnoliopsida; Brassicales; Cleomaceae
Exons: 2
Source: RefSeq, a predicted model, not a curated record
GUUUACCCGCGUUGUUUGGUUGGUGGGAAAAUGUCGAACUAAUUUUCUCGGGAAAAUAAUAAGUCCUUGCCUUGCACUGGCGAUAUGGGCAUUCCAUUUUAGAAGUGUUUCGGUCAGAGAGUGGGCUGAAAAUGGCGGCAACUUUCACUGCCAUGUCUUCCCUCGGAUCCAUGAUCUAGCUGCCAAUGGCAACUUGUUGGAUACGAAGCUGUCAUAAACUUCGGUUUGUGUCUGCAAAUUUACUUCCUUGUAGGUUGGAGCAGACGUUGUCAAAAGGGAGCUGAGUUAUCCUUUGAAACUCUCCCCAUACUUUCGACUUGCUUCCGGCCAGAAGCUUGAGAACUUCCACUACUUUGCACUGUUUAGUUACUUUCCAACCAUAACCCGAGAUUCGGUUACGAUGCUGCAACUGGAAAGUACGAGGAUCUUAUGCCUGUAUUGUAUGCAUCAGCAAAGGUUGUAAGAUGCCGCUCGGUGCAAGCAGUCUGAGCCAGUCCCCACCUGCGACCCAAUUGGACAAGUCAGGUUCUUUCAGACAUUUCUAGCCUAAUUAUUACAAGAAGUGCUUGUUUCCGUCAAACCCAUUUUCAGUCACUGAAUCUGCGUUCCUUUGCUCUGGUUCCAUGGUAUCCGUACUGAGAUGAAUGAGAAACCUGGUAAUGCGUUGAAAAACAGAAUAAUAGUAGAACAUUCUGGGGAGAGUGGAUACAGAUUCAUACAUAGCAUGCGAAAUUCUUGUGCAAAUGAAAGGAUUUCGAUCUUGAAGCCAAACCAAAAGUUUGAAUAGAUGCUAAA